UCUACGGGUGGCAGCAGUGGGGAAUAUUGGGCAAUGGGCGCAAGCCUGACCCAGCAACGCCGCGUGAAGGAAGAAGGCUUUCGGGUUGUAAACUUCUUUUAUUGAGGACGAAACAAAUGACGGUACUCCAUGAAUAAGCCACGGCUAACUACGUGCCAGCAGCCGCGGUAAUACGUAGGUGGCAAGCGUUAUCCGGAUUUACUGGGUGUAAAGGGCGUGUAGGCGGGACUGCAAGUCAGAUGUGAAACCCAUGGGCUCAACCCAUGGCCUGCAUUUGAAACUGUAGUUCUUGAGUGAUGGAGAGGCAGGCGGAAUUCCGGGUGUAGCGGUGAAAUGCGUAGAUAUACGGAGGAACACCAGUGGCGAAGGCGGCCUGCUGGACAGUAACUGACGCUGAGGCGCGAAAGCGUGGGGAGCAAACAGGAUUAGAUACCCCAGUAGUC
Molecule: ribosomal RNA, 443 nt
Filed under: uncultured bacterium
Lineage: Bacteria
Description: partial 16S ribosomal RNA
Rfam family: Bacterial small subunit ribosomal RNA
Source: RNAcentral